AAUAGAUACCCGGGUAGUCCACGCCGUAAACGAUGGAUACUAGCUGUUUGAGCGCAAGUUUGAGUGGCUAAGCGAAAGUGAUAAGUAUCCCACCUGGGGAGUACGGGCGCAAGCCUGAAACUCAAAGGAAUUGACGGGGGCCCGCACAAGCGGUGGAGCAUGUGGUUUAAUUCGAUGAUACGCGAGGAACCUUACCAGGGCUUAAAUGUAGAUUGACGUAUUUGGAAACAGAUAUUUCUUCGGACAAUUUACAAGGUGCUGCAUGGUUGUCGUCAGCUCGUGCCGUGAGGUGUCAGGUUAAGUCCUAUAACGAGCGCAACCCCUGUUGUUAGUUGCCAGCGAGUAAUGUCGGGAACUCUAGCAAGACUGCCAGUGUAAACUGUGAGGAAGGUGGGGAUGACGUCAAAUCAUCACGGCCCUUACGGUCCUGGGCCACACACGUGCUACAAUGGCCGGUACAGAGAGCAGCCACUUAGCGAUAAGGAGCGAAUCUAUAAAGCCGGUCACAGUUCGGAUCGGAGUCUGCAAC
This 529-nucleotide ribosomal RNA is filed under the name uncultured bacterium. Its description in RNAcentral is "bacterial SSU rRNA". It matches the Rfam family "Bacterial small subunit ribosomal RNA", at positions 777 to 1311 of the family's 1533-position model. The record is from RNAcentral.